Molecule: non-coding RNA, 27 nt
Filed under: Mus musculus (house mouse)
Lineage: Eukaryota; Metazoa; Chordata; Mammalia; Rodentia; Muridae
Source: RNAcentral
UGACCACAUGCCUCUGACCUUCCGUGA